Molecule: transfer RNA, 85 nt
Filed under: Candidatus Portnoyibacteriota bacterium
Lineage: Bacteria; Candidatus Portnoyibacteriota
Description: tRNA-Leu
Rfam family: tRNA
About the family: Transfer RNA (tRNA) molecules are approximately 80 nucleotides in length. Their secondary structure includes four short double-helical elements and three loops (D, anti-codon, and T loops).
Source: RNAcentral
GUCCCCGUGGCGGAAUUGGCAGACGCGUGUGGUUUAGGACCACAUCCUUAACAGGGUGCAGGUUCAAGUCCUGCCGGGGACACCG